UCAGCUGCUUCCCCUGGGUUCUGGUGGGAGAAGCUAAAGCUUGAAUCACUUCUGCUCCCAUUCUAACUCUGUCCUCAAAAAUGAUGAACAAGAAGGGAACCUAAGUGGAGAAUCUUACCCUAGAGAGACCCCAGGCUCCAGGCUGACCAGCCAUGAGGAGCAGGGAGUGAAAAACACUUGCAAGCUUUUCAGUGAGGCAAACAGCAAACUCCCAGCCCUCUCUAGCAGCAGCUGAAGAGGGUGAUUUCUCUUUUUCUGCAUUUUAAUUGUCGGGAUGUGGCCACACACAGCGGUAAUUGGAACAAUGCAACUACCACCACGCAACUGAUACUCUCAGCCUGAGUUUCCUAAAACAGGCCAGGCUGAGAGGGGCAACAGAACGGAAGCCAUAAGGAAUCAAACCAGGACACAAAAGAAGGUAAACCAGCUCUGCAAGGGGCCUCCUCGUUCUCAAGCAGACAUUUACAAAGUGUGAGAAGCUCUCUCUGGCAGCCUUCCUUCCCUUCCAUUUUGUGUAUCUGAGGGGUAGACAGCUCUCAACAUUUCACUAAACAAGUUAAAACUUCUCAGCUGAACGUUACUGGCACAAGGCUCAGCCCUUCACUGAGCAAGAAGGCCGCUCGGCCCUCCCAGUAACCCCACCAGGCCUAACUCUCUGCCCAGAAUCUCCCUCCACCACAACCCCCCAAGAUGACGACUAGACCCCCCCACUCCUAUUGGAUGGAAGCAACUCCUGACACUUGCGUUUCUGGGAUACUUAGGUUGUGUUGAAACCUGGACGACCUAAGAUCCAGUCAGGCCAAGGGAAAAGAAAGUCGCAAAUCCCCUGGGGACAUUCCCCCCAGGUCUCCCGGUCCCACACCUCUGGGAGAAACUGAAGGAAAACAUAAGCGAGGCAGGGAGAUGCAAGAAAAAGGUAAAUGGAUAUUAGAAUGCUCUUCUUCCAUAUGGCUCUCGUGAAGACAGGGGUGACAAGUGGGGUGCACCCAUCCCCCACCGCGACGAAAAAGCAAACGACUAGGCUCCCUCUAAUCCUCAACCUCUCCCUCUGUUGCCCUGCCUGUCCCCGCGGGGUGGGGCAUGAGGCAUCUACUGGCCCCCGGGGGGGCACUCCAGGGUUUGCUCAGAGAGACUGUCGCUCUCUUCUUUCCAUUCUGGUUCCCCAUCUGACCGCGGGAAGCGAACUCAGGACGCAGGGGAUGGGGAGGGUCUGGGACAUGCACUCCGCCACCCCCUCCCCCACCGGGUCCCGGGUUCUCCCGCCGAGACGGCCUAGGAGGCUCCGCCGCACCAGCGGCUGGACUGGGGGAUGGGAGAGAGGGAGGGACGGUCGCGGUGCCCGCCCCGAGGCCCCAGCACCACCUGCCCUCCGCUACCUACCGCGGCUCCUACAGCUCCAUGGGCCGCGGCCGGAGCAGCUCUGAGCGCUCCGUUCGCCCCACGGUGCCCUUAAAAGGCGCUGGCAAGAACCAACCGGUCUUUGAGGAGAGUAUGGGGGAUCGCGUCUAUUCACAGAAUCCCCCGGAACCUGCCGAAGAGGCCCAAGCCCUACGUGGUGUCUCCCUUAAUCUUUUUCAGAAUAGCGCCGUCGGAAAGGAGCCUAGAGCUGUGGUUUGGGGACCGGAGUGUCUCCUCACUAACUAAUCACCCCCUCCAAAAUAACGUGGAAAGUGGACAGGCCCAGUUGGAAGCAUAUCACGAAGCCCGUAGGGGAAGCCAUGUCGGAUAAAGCCACCUUUCUGCAAGCAUCCCCCCACCUUCCCCCGGCAAGGACUGAUCCUCGGCGUGAAGGCUGCUGGGAAAUGUAGUCCAAGCGCCGGUCAAGGCCUGCUCUGAGUAGCCGGAGCCCCUCUUCUAGCUGCCAGAUCUGCUAGAGCUUUUAUAAACCUGAGAUUUAUAACGGUU
This is an RNA transcript of Mus musculus (house mouse), 1905 nucleotides long. It is a transcript of the gene named predicted gene 3561, with no coding region annotated. The transcript has 2 exons. NCBI's taxonomy places the organism in Eukaryota, Metazoa, Chordata, Mammalia, Rodentia, Muridae. The record is from RefSeq and is a predicted model, not a curated record.